RNAcentral lists this ribosomal RNA (506 nucleotides) under uncultured bacterium. Its description in RNAcentral is "partial 16S ribosomal RNA". It matches the Rfam family "Bacterial small subunit ribosomal RNA", at positions 30 to 523 of the family's 1533-position model. The record is from RNAcentral.
AUUGAACGCUGGCGGCAGGCUUAACACAUGCAAGUCGAGCGGUAACAGAGAGAAGCUUGCUUCUCUGCUGACGAGCGGCGGACGGGUGAGUAAUGCCUAGGAAUCUGCCUAGUAGUGGGGGAUAACUUGCCGAAAGGUAAGCUAAUACCGCAUCCGUCCUACGGGAGAAAGGAGGGGACCUUCGGGCCUUUCGCUAUUAGAUGAGCCUGGGUCGGAUUAGUUAGUUGGUGAGGUAAUGGCUCACCAAGACCGCGAUCCGUAACUGGUCUGAGAGGAUGAUCAGUCACACUGGAACUGAGACACGGUCCAGACUCCUACGGGAGGCAGCAGUGGGGAAUAUUGGACAAUGGGGGGAACCCUGAUCCAGCCAUGCCGCGUGUGUGAAGAAGGUCUUAGGAUUGUAAAGCACUUUAAGUUGGGAGGAAGAGCAGUUAACUAAUAUUUGACUGUUUUGACGUUACCGACAGAAUAAGCACCGGCUAACUUCGUGCCAGCCGCCGCAGUAA